RNAcentral lists this ribosomal RNA (484 nucleotides) under uncultured bacterium. RNAcentral's name for it is "partial 16S ribosomal RNA". It matches the Rfam family "Bacterial small subunit ribosomal RNA", at positions 30 to 507 of the family's 1533-position model. The record is from RNAcentral.
AUUGAACGCUGGCGGCAGGCCUAACACAUGCAAGUCGAGCGGAUGAAGGGAGCUUGCUCCUGGAUUCAGCGGCGGACGGGUGAGUAAUGCCUAGGAAUCUGCCUGGUAGUGGGGGAUAACGUCCGGAAACGGGCGCUAAUACCGCAUACGUCCUGAGGGAGAAAGUGGGGGAUCUUCGGACCUCACGCUAUCAGAUGAGCCUAGGUCGGAUUAGCUAGUUGGUGGGGUAAAGGCCUACCAAGGCGACGAUCCGUAACUGGUCUGAGAGGAUGAUCAGUCACGCUGGAACUGAGACACGUUCCAGACUCCUACGGGAGGCAGCAGUGGGGAAUAUUGGACAAUGGGCGAAAGCCUGAUCCAGCCAUGCCGCGUGUGUGAAGAAGGUCUUCGGAUUGUAAAGCACGUUAAGUUGGGAGGAAGGGCAGUAAGUUAAUACCUUGCUGUUUUGACGUUACCAACAGAAUAAGCACCGGCUAACUUCGUG